GACGAACGCUGGCGGCGUGCCUAAUACAUGCGAGUUGAGCGCUGAAGGUUGGUACUUGUACCGACUGGAUGAGCGGCGAACGGGUGAGUAACGCGUGGGGAAUCUGCCUUUGAGCGGGGGACAACAUUUGGAAACGAAUGCUAAUACCGCAUAAAAACUUUAAACACAAGUUUUAAGUUUGAAAGAUGCAAUUGCAUCACUCAAAGAUGAUCCCGCGUUGUAUUAGCUAGUUGGUGAGGUAAAGGCUCACCAAGGCGAUGAUACAUAGCCGACCUGAGAGGGUGAUCGGCCACAUUGGGACUGAGACACGGCCCAAACUCCUACGGGAGGCAGCAGUAGGGAAUCUUCGGCAAUGGACGAAAGUCUGACCGAGCAACGCCGCGUGAGUGAAGAAGGUUUUCGGAUCGUAAAACUCUGUUGGUAGAGAAGAACGUUGGUGAGAGUGGAAAGCUCAUCAAGUGACGGUAACUACCCAGAAAGGGACGGCUAACUACGUG
This 497-nucleotide ribosomal RNA is filed under the name uncultured bacterium. RNAcentral's name for it is "partial 16S ribosomal RNA". It matches the Rfam family "Bacterial small subunit ribosomal RNA", at positions 28 to 507 of the family's 1533-position model. The record is from RNAcentral.